Molecule: long non-coding RNA, 833 nt
Organism: Centruroides sculpturatus (bark scorpion)
Lineage: Eukaryota; Metazoa; Arthropoda; Arachnida; Scorpiones; Buthidae
Exons: 4
Source: RefSeq, a predicted model, not a curated record
CUAGUAUUUAUAUUUUAAAGCAUUUCGCGAAUUGUAUCUAAGAAUUAUUUACAUUCAAGUUUCAUUAUUUUGUAUUGAUUAAGAAAUUUUGAAAAGUCUUCAAAACAAGAGAUUAUUUAGUCAGUUUCAGAAGUUUUUUUCAACUAUCGCAAGUUGAAGUUGAGAAAUCUUCUCUCACGCUGCCCAAAAGAUCCAUUGCUUCAAUUUACGAGAUUUAUAAUGGUUCUAUCGACUGACGAAAAGCUUGUAAGGAAGUGUCUUAAAUGGUUCUAAGGAAGGGUCUGUUGUCGCUAAAAUCAACGCCACUGUGAUUUAUUUGAAAGGACAUAUCUGAACAUAGUAAUAACAAAAUUUUAGCUGCUAUGGACAACAUGGACAAAAAUAUACGAAGCCAAUCAAACAUAGGAUACGUUGUUGAAGUUUAUGUUACUGCUGAAAAAUAUAUGACAGGUAAAAAUUUCGAGUAAAUUACUUUUGACGGAGCAAAGAGCGCUAUAUUGUGGAGAUAACAAGAAGUUGCAGAAUGACGGCAAUUUAUAAAGUUGCAAAGCUGCAUAGAGAGGACAAUGUUCGUUUACAGUUCUAUCACAAAUUAAAUACGUUCUUUAUCCAUGACGAACUUCGUAACUGUCGAAACAAAUGGCGACAAAAAUCCAGCGUGGUUUGACGAGUAGUGCAAGGAUAGAAAACGGAUUACAAUGAAAGUGAUAAAAUGUACGAAACUCUUCUAUUCCAAUUAAAAAUGCUACUUUUUAUUGUAAUUUUGUUAUGUAUUUGAAUAAAUUAUUUAAUGAUUAAUUUGAUAUUUUUAUUUACUAAUAACACAAAACUAC